GAUGAACGCUGGCGGCGUGCCUAAUACAUGCAAGUCGAGCGAACGGACGAGAAGCUUGCUUCUCUGAUGUUAGCGGCGGACGGGUGAGUAACACGUGGAUAACCUACCUAUAAGACUGGGAUAACUUCGGGAAACCGGAGCUAAUAACGGAUAAUAUUUUGAACCGCAUGGUUCAAAAGUGAAAGACGGUCUUGCUGUCACUUAUAGAUGGUUCCGCGCUGCAUUAGCUAGUUGGUAAGGUAACGGCUUACCAAGGCAACGAUGCAUAGCCGACCUGAGAGGGUGAUCGGCCACACUGGAACUGAGACACGGUCCAGACUCCUACGGGAGGCAGCAGUAGGGAAUCUUCCGCAAAGGGCGAAAGCCUGACGGAGCAACGCCGCGUGAGUGAUGAAGGUCUUCGGAUCGUAAAACUCUGUUAUUAGGGAAGAACAUAUGUGUAAGUAACUGUGCACAUCUUGACGGUACCUAAUCAGAAAGCCACGGCUAACUACGUG
Molecule: ribosomal RNA, 497 nt
Filed under: uncultured bacterium
Lineage: Bacteria
Description: partial 16S ribosomal RNA
Rfam family: Bacterial small subunit ribosomal RNA
Source: RNAcentral